AUCUUAAUGGCGUGUCUGAAUUGGUUAUUUUCUGUUUUCGCUUCACACGUUUUGGAUGAAGAGCUUUCACUCCUACUCUCUCGCCGCCUUGGAGACGUUACAACCUCCCAUUUUAUUGCAUAGACGUGCAUUUCCAUGACUUGUACGACCUGUGAUCCACAGCGCGCCCCUGGAUGCAGCCGGUGCGCAGCAACACGAGAAGCCACGUUUCUCCGAGAGCUCCGCGCCUGACGUCUGCCCCCUGACGGCCACGUCCACGAAGCCUGCUGUGUCUCCACUAAAGACUUCAAGUUUAAGGAUCACAUUAUAGAGGGGAAUCUUGACGUCUACUCCGGAAAACACUCAACCAUCACACCAUCUGCACCAUCGUCUGAAUUCAGAAUGACCAGAGGCAAACACCAGCACAAUGAGGACGCAAGCUUGUUUUUCCUCCUUGAAAACCUUCAGUGUGGAUUUCUUCCCAGAUGGACUUCCUGUGUUGCCCUGGAGACCAUUCAUCACCGUGACAACCAUGUACACCGCCUGCAGUUAUUGCUGGAGUCUAUUAUUAUAAGAAGAAAUGUGGCUCGAUGUACGGCACCCAGUCAAUGUGCAUGUGUGCGUGUGUGUGUGAAGAGGAUAAAGAGAGAGAGAGAGAAAUAAAAGUACAUUAAUGUAUACUGUACCCGUCAUCCAUAAUAUACAGGUAUAGUAUAUAUAUGGAUACAUUAAACCCAUACACCCUCUUGCACGUUCACUUUUUUUUCCACUUGAAGUUUUUCCCAGAGACUCAAUCCCAUGGUUCCAAGCAGAACACUUUAUAUCACUUUAGCUUACUUUACUGCCGUGUUAAACAGAGGACAGAGCAGUAAUGAAAAAGAACUGUCCUGAUUGAAAGUGCCACAGUUGCUACUGCUGCUUGUCUGCUGAGCAUUCACAAAAAAAUGGUAAUACAAAGUUCAAUUACAGGAUUAGAAAGGCUUAGAAUGGGCAGCAGUGCAGACAUAUAUGCGCACAAGUGGUUUAGAUAAACGUACUCAAAGAACACAAAUACAUAAUUAUAAUUAUCGUUACAUAAUCAGACACACACUGCCUACUUCUACUAAAGCAGUUUCAAUGGCCUUCAGAGCAGUGACUUGAUUCAUGUUAAUGAAAAAUCUAAAGUUGCUGCAAAUUAUCUGGAAAUGAGCCCUUGAUAAGAAAACAACCACUUUGAAAUAGUAGCUCAAAUUUAUUUGUAUUCUUUUUAUCCAUAUAAAAAGAUAUGCUUGUAUUUCUACAAGCAAAACUGCCGUAUGAAACUUUAAUGAUCACCAAUGGGAAUUUUAUAUCAUUGUGUAGCUACAUGGCUGGGAACUAAGAAAAGAUAGAAGAUGCAACAACAUUAAAACUCCACACAAUACACAAUGUUGUUCUGCAGUUUAGAGUUGGGAAUGGAAUCUACAGUGGACUGGGCCAGUGGACCAUUGAUGUAUUUCGCAUAAAGGGGCUUUAAUUCCACAAUGACACGGCAACAGUUCAAAAUAUGUAAAUUACCACAGCUAUUAAAGACAACUACAACGUGUAUUAAAAAGAAAUGAAGAGAUGUGCCCUUAAUUACAUCAUGUUGUGACAGAGAAAGAGAGAUCAUUAAAGUGGAACUGAACCCACUGGGAUUUAAACAUUCAAAUUCAGACAGAGGGUGACAACUCUAAUUAGGGGUUUCGCAGAGGAAAAAAAAGGCAUGUGUGAACGAAAACAUGUGUUCGUUAUUAGCAAAAAUAUCAGACUUCAUACAUAAGACACAUUAAAAAAGAUAGAUCAAAGUACAUACAUCUCUCAUGUCAUUUGAAAGAUAGAGACUUGAAUAAUAACUAAGAAGUAUUAUCUAAAAUGUGACUCGGGCCCUGUCUGAGAAUAAAAGUAUCAGGAACUUCUCAGUAUGAGAGAGCUCAUUAUUUUCAGGCUAAAAAAGUUUACUUCAGAUGGGGUUUUUUACUCUAUUUUUAUAUGGAUGUGUUGACCAGUUAUUCAUGAAAGGAUGUUAUGGAUGUACUUACAUUUAAAUGCUUAUACGUUCCUAAUACAUUAUUAGAAAAAUUUUACUUUAAAACAUCAUGAAUUUGAUCAAUAGGCCUUUUAUACUGCAGACACUUAAUGAUGGCUCUGUUCAGUUCAAGUGAGCAAAAUACCUGGAAACACCUGAAAAUGAAUCAGCUAACUGAGAUUCAACCACCAUUCAUUUGAUUAUUAUCCAUAAAGUUUUUACCAUCCUCAGAAGGAGGAAUUCUGCAUAAAAUAUGUAGAUACCGCUUGUGCUUUGCACGUUCACGUGACAAGUGUACAGUUCUCAGCAGCAGACAGACCUCAGCUUAACAACGGCUCAGCUCUUCAAAAGCGUACAGUGAGCGUGUUUCCUGGCUAUGCCGGUGCACAGGAUAAUAAUAUUUGCACAAUCUCAAACAUAGCCAUGUACUCUGGGUACAGACCAAAGAGUGGGAUUCUAGAUUGAGACUGAGAAAGCUCAAAAAUCUCAAAACAACUUGGUCCACUGCUCCUCUGUAGCCAGCUGAGAUGGUUCAGGCAACAUGCCAUGAGGCCCCCUGGGACUUUCUUUUUAGGUGUACUGGACACAUUCAACUGAGAGACCCUGGCAGACUAAGGACAUGCUAGAGUGAGUACAUCUCACAACUUGAAGACCUAGUAGUCUCACAGGAGUAAGUUGCUGGGAACAGGAUGUCUGGAUGGAUUUGCUUUCCCAGUUUUCAAUGAAAUCUGACAACAUGGACAUGUGUACUGCAACUGUCUCUCUGUGUGUGUGUGUGAGUGAAAUCGACAUUUGAACGGCAGACUUUUAAAAAUGACUUAGCCAGUAUGGUAUGGACAUUUACAGUGAAUGUCUGCUCUGUGGAAAUAGCAACUAAUCUGAGCAUGGCAUCUUUAUGUGUUAGUGUUUGGAUAAAUGUAUACUAUUAUGUUCUGUAUAAUAGCAAAGUUAAGUAAUAAAUAAUCAAUGAACAGCA
This is a long non-coding RNA of Scophthalmus maximus (turbot), 2981 nucleotides long. RefSeq lists it as uncharacterized. Lineage: Eukaryota; Metazoa; Chordata; Actinopteri; Pleuronectiformes; Scophthalmidae. The transcript has 4 exons. The record is from RefSeq and is a predicted model, not a curated record.